AAAAAGAAGAUUUAUUGAAUAGAUUCAUCCAAGUUUCAGAUUGGCUUCUCUCUAAAUUGAAUCCCAAAGUUACUAUUUAUUAGAUAAUUAAGCAUUUAUUGGUUGUGUUUAUACUUCUUAAACAACAAAGCAUGCACAAAUAUUAUCUGUAGCCAUUUAAAAUAGAUGAUAUGGAGGCUAAGUAGAAAUGGGGUAUUUAUAGAUAACAGAGCUAUUUGCAAAGAAUUGUAUCAGCUUCUUGAAAAUCAUCAGGGCAUUGUCUAAUAUUUAGAUAAGCAGAAAAACAAGUGAAUGCUCAAUCAAAUCUAGUUUUGUUAUGUGUCAGGCACCGGGAAUCUUUUUUAAUGAAUUAAUAAUUCUUAGAAUAUCUCCUACAUCCAUACUAACAGGCUGCAUUUUUUCAUUUGUCCUGCUUAUCACAAGUGUGGCUAACUUCAUAUUUGUUUCAACGAUGGAAUUCUUUCAGAGUGUUUUGGCCUUUUAUUCAAUUUGCUGCAAGUUGUAAUGGAAAGCGCACCUCUCUGGAACUCGGGAGUCUUGGAUCCUACACAUGAUUCUAUGCAUAAAUAGAAAUGAAAUUAGCUUCCUGGAUACUAAGCUAGUAUUAAUCAGGUGAUCCUAAUUAAAAUCACUCUGCUAGCUAA
RNAcentral lists this long non-coding RNA (644 nucleotides) under Pan troglodytes (chimpanzee). Its description in RNAcentral is "lincRNA". The record is from RNAcentral. Lineage: Eukaryota; Metazoa; Chordata; Mammalia; Primates; Hominidae.